AUAUACGACCGUACCGCAAACCGACACUGGUGCGCGAGAUGAGUAUUCUAAGGCGCUUGAGAGAACUCAGGAGAAGGAACUCGGCAAAUUGACACCGUAACUUCGGAAGAAGGUGUGCCCUAUUAGUGUGUAGUUAACAACGAAGCAUGAAUGGGUUGCAAAAAAUCGGUGGCUGCGACUGUUUAUUAAAAACACAGCACUCUGCAAACACGAAAGUGGACGUAUAGGGUGUGACGCCUGCCCGGUGCUGGAAGAUUAAAUGAUGGGGUGCAAGCUCUUGAUUGAAGUCCCAGUAAACGGCGGCCGUAACAAUAACGGUCCUAAGGUAGCGAAAUUCCUUGUCGGGUAAGUUCCGACCUGCACGAAUGGCGUAACGAUGGCCACACUGUCUCCUCCUGAGACUCAGCGAAGUUGAAAUGUUUGUGAUGAUGCAAUCUCCCCGCGGAAAGACGGAAAGACCCCAUGAACCUUUACUGUAGCUUUGUAUUGGACUUUGAACAGAUCUGUGUAGGAUAGGUGGGAGGCUUUGAAGCAGGGUCGCUAGAUCUUGUGGAGCCAACGUUGAAAUACCACCCUGGUGUGUUUGAGGUUCUAACCUAGGUCCAUUAUCUGGAUCGGGGACAGUGCAUGGUAGGCAGUUUGACUGGGGCGGUCUCCUCCCAAAGCGUAACGGAGGAGUUCGAAGGUACGCUAGUUACGGUCGGACAUCGUGACGAUAGUGCAAUGGCAUAAGCGUGCUUAACUGCGAGACUGACAAGUCGAGCAGAUGCGAAAGCAGGACAUAGUGAUCCGGUGGUUCUGUAUGGAAGGGCCAUCGCUCAACGGAUAAAAGGUACUCUGGGGAUAACAGGCUGAUACCGCCCAAGAGUUCAUAUCGACGGCGGUGUUUGGCACCUCGAUGUCGGCUCAUCUCAUCCUGGGGCUGUAGCCGGUCCCAAGGGUAUGGCUGUUCGCCAUUUAAAGAGGUACGUGAGCUGGGUUUAAAACGUCGUGAGACAGUUUGGUCCCUAUCUUCCGUGGGCGCUGCAGAUUUGAGGAAGCCUGCUCCUAGUACGAGAGGACCGGAGUGGACACACCUCUGGUGUAUCGGUUGUCACGCCAGUGGCAUUGCCGAGUAGCUAAGUGUGGAAGAGAUAACCGCUGAAAGCAUCUAAGCGGGAAACUCGUUUCAAGAUGAGAUCUGCCGGGGCCUUGAGCCCCCUAAAGAGUCGUUCAAGACCAGGACGUUGAUAGGUCAGGUGUGGAAGC
Molecule: ribosomal RNA, 1248 nt
Filed under: metagenome
Description: bacterial LSU rRNA
Rfam family: Bacterial large subunit ribosomal RNA
Source: RNAcentral